GAGGAUUUAGCUUAAUGAAAGUAAUUGAUUUGCGUUCAGUAGAUGUAGGAUAAAUUCUUGCAAUCCUUA
This 69-nucleotide transfer RNA is filed under the name Cheirogaleus major (Greater dwarf lemur). RNAcentral's name for it is "tRNA-Ala". It matches the Rfam family "tRNA". From Rfam's summary of the family: Transfer RNA (tRNA) molecules are approximately 80 nucleotides in length. Their secondary structure includes four short double-helical elements and three loops (D, anti-codon, and T loops). The record is from RNAcentral. Lineage: Eukaryota; Metazoa; Chordata; Mammalia; Primates; Cheirogaleidae.